CUGCUGCCAAUUAAGCCGACUGUGGCUCUUUGUCUAUGGGGGCCCGGUGUGCCAUGGCCGCAAACAGUAGCCUCCUCGGUGCUUAUGCAGCCUGUCAAUUGUAUGGGUUUCCGUAAGGGACCUUGGAGACAGCC
Molecule: small nucleolar RNA, 134 nt
Organism: Lutra lutra (Eurasian river otter)
Lineage: Eukaryota; Metazoa; Chordata; Mammalia; Carnivora; Mustelidae
Product: small nucleolar RNA SNORA70
Exons: 1
Source: RefSeq, a predicted model, not a curated record